RNAcentral lists this ribosomal RNA (503 nucleotides) under uncultured Chloroflexota bacterium. RNAcentral's name for it is "bacterial SSU rRNA". It matches the Rfam family "Bacterial small subunit ribosomal RNA", at positions 355 to 874 of the family's 1533-position model. The record is from RNAcentral. Lineage: Bacteria; Bacillati; Chloroflexota.
UGAGGAAUAUUGCACAAUGGGCGCAAGCCUGAUGCAGCAACGCCGCGUGAGGGACGAAGGCCUUCGGGUCGUAAACCUCUUUUCUGGGGAAAGAGCAAGGACGGUACCUCAGGAAUAAGUCUCGGCUAACUACGUGCCAGCAGCCGCGGUAAAACGUAGGAGGCGAGCGUUAUCCGGAUUUACUGGGCGUAAAGCGCACGCAGGUGGUUUCGUAAGUCGGACAUGAAAGCUCCUGGCUUAACUGGGAGAGGCUGUUCGAUACUGCGGGGCUUGAGGUUGGGAGAGGGGUGUGGAAUUCCCGGUGUAGUGGUGGAAUGCGUAGAUAUCGGGAGGAACACCUGUGGCGAAAGCGGCACCCUGGCCCACACCUGACGCUGAGGUGCGAAAGCGUGGGUAGCAAACAGGAUUAGAUACCCUGGUAGUCCACGCCGUAAACGAUGUCAACUGGGUGUCGGUAGUUUUACACUAUCGGUGCCGAAGCAAACGCGUUAAGUUGACCGCCU